AAGUCGUAACAAGGUUUCCGUAGGUGAACCUGCGGAAGGAUCAUUCCAUCCACUGAAAAACAACCCCCCUAAACGUUUGCAUUUGCUGGUCUGUAAAAGAUCAGUACAGUUGUGGUGUCCUUGACCGGUCACUUGACUGAUAUCUAAAAAACAAGUUCUUCGCUAGUCUCAAUUUUGAUUGUAUCCAAAACCUCUUAGCGGUGGAUACCUCGGCUACCAUAACGAUGAAGAACGCAGC
RNAcentral lists this unclassified non-coding RNA (238 nucleotides) under fungal sp. RNAcentral describes it as "partial internal transcribed spacer region". The stretch from base 1 to 46 matches the Rfam family "Eukaryotic small subunit ribosomal RNA", at positions 1786 to 1831 of the family's 1831-position model. The record is from RNAcentral. Lineage: Eukaryota; Fungi.